UACGGAGGGGGCUAGCGUUGCUCGGAAUUACUGGGCGUAAAGGGCACGUAGGCUGGCUGUUAAGUCGGUGGUGAAAUGCUGAGGCUCAACCUCAGAAUUGCCUUCGAUACUGACGGUCUUGAGUGCGGGAGAGGUGAGUGGAAUUCCCAGUGUAGAGGUGAAAUUCGUAGAUAUUGGGAAGAACACCAGUGGCGAAGGCGGCUCACUGGCCCGCAACUGACGCUGAGGUGCGAAAGCGUGGGGAGCAAACAGG
This 253-nucleotide ribosomal RNA is filed under the name uncultured bacterium. Its description in RNAcentral is "partial 16S ribosomal RNA". It matches the Rfam family "Bacterial small subunit ribosomal RNA", at positions 524 to 776 of the family's 1533-position model. The record is from RNAcentral.